RNAcentral lists this long non-coding RNA (214 nucleotides) under Lathyrus oleraceus (garden pea). RNAcentral describes it as "Pisum sativum (pea) long non-coding RNA (PSAT_LNC015940)". Lineage: Eukaryota; Viridiplantae; Streptophyta; Magnoliopsida; Fabales; Fabaceae. The record is from RNAcentral.
GAAGCCGAAUCGAAACAACAAAAUGAUGAAAACGCGAACAAACUCAUAAGAAGCAAACAAAUCACCACAUCAAAGGAAACAUAAAUCCAACAAUGAUUACACAUCAAGCAAUGAUAAUACAUCAAGUCAAAAUAGCCAUGUCAACAAGUAUGAAAACGAGGAUUUAAAACAGAAAGAAUGAAGAAAAAGUAACACUGGCUACCACACAGCGGAA